CACGUGAGAAUUUGCCUUUAGGAGGGGGAUAACAGAGUGAAAACGCUGCUAAUACCCCAUAUGCUUUCGAGUGAAAUGGAUUUAUUCGCCUAAAGAGAAGCUCGCGGCUGAUUAGCUUGUUGGUAAGGUAAUGGCUUACCAAGGCGACGAUCAGUAUCUGGUUUGAGAGGACGAUCAGACACACUGGAACUGAGACACGGUCCAGACUCCUACGGGAGGCAGCAGUGGGGAAUUUUCCGCAAUGGGCGAAAGCCUGACGGAGCAAUACCGCGUGAGGGAUGACGGCCUAUGGGUUGUAAA
RNAcentral lists this ribosomal RNA (300 nucleotides) under uncultured bacterium. Its description in RNAcentral is "bacterial SSU rRNA". It matches the Rfam family "Bacterial small subunit ribosomal RNA", at positions 114 to 429 of the family's 1533-position model. The record is from RNAcentral.